GAUGAACGCUGGCGGCGUGCCUAAUACAUGCAAGUCGAGCGAACAGACGAGGAGCUUGCUCCUCUGACGUUAGCGGCGGACGGGUGAGUAACACGUGGAUAACCUACCUAUAAGACUGGGAUAACUUCGGGAAACCGGAGCUAAUACCGGAUAAUAUAUUGAACCGCAUGGUUCAAUAGUGAAAGACGGUUUUGCUGUCACUUAUAGAUGGAUCCACGCCGCAUUAGCUAGUUGGUAAGGUAACGGCUUACCAAGGCGACGAUGCGUAGCCGACCUGAGAGGGUGAUCGGCCACACUGGAACUGAGACACGGUCCAGACUCCUACGGGAGGCAGCAGUAGGGAAUCUUCCGCAAUGGGCGAAAGCUUGACGGAGCAACGCCGCGUGAGUGAUGAAGGUCUUCGGAUCGUAAAACUCUGUUAUUAGGGAAGAACAAAUGUGUAAGUAACUAUGCACGUCUUGACGGUACCUAAUCAGAAAGCCACGGCUAACUACGUG
This 497-nucleotide ribosomal RNA is filed under the name uncultured bacterium. RNAcentral's name for it is "partial 16S ribosomal RNA". It matches the Rfam family "Bacterial small subunit ribosomal RNA", at positions 28 to 507 of the family's 1533-position model. The record is from RNAcentral.